AGGAGGAACAACAACAGUAGCAGUGGCCAGCUCUGGAGCCCUGAAGUCAGCUCCCACAGUAACUACAGAGCUCUCUGUCUGCAGGGCCUGGAGGCUCCGGGGGCGG
This 106-nucleotide microRNA precursor is filed under the name Canis lupus familiaris (dog). Its description in RNAcentral is "mir-8834 microRNA precursor family". It matches the Rfam family "mir-8834 microRNA precursor family". The record is from Rfam by way of RNAcentral. Lineage: Eukaryota; Metazoa; Chordata; Mammalia; Carnivora; Canidae.